This is a long non-coding RNA of Oncorhynchus tshawytscha (Chinook salmon), 1424 nucleotides long. Lineage: Eukaryota; Metazoa; Chordata; Actinopteri; Salmoniformes; Salmonidae. The record is from Ensembl.
UCCAGGUAAAAAAGAUUUACUGAUUUAUGUAACAAAAACAGAUCUUUUUUCUUUUCUUUAGCUAAAAUAAAUGUCUACUUCUUCAUACUCUUAAUGACAGUAUCAAAACGCUUCAUUGAGGACAGAUAUACACUGUAGAAGGAAUCUGUGGCGUGGAUAUUGAAGGGUCGUUCUCGUAACACACGAUGCUUCUCAAAGGGGUCUCGGUCACUGUAACACAGCACAGAUACACUGUAACACAGCACAGAUACACUGUAACACAGCACAGAUACACUGUAACACACAACAGAUACACUGUAACACAUAACAGAUACACUGUAACAGAUACACUGUAACAGAUACACUGUAACACAUAACAGAUACACUGUAACAGAUACACUGUAACAGAUACACUGUAACAGAUACACUGUAACACACAACAGAUACACUGUAACACACAACAGAUACACUAUAACACAGCACAGAUACACUGUAACACAGCACAGAUACACUGUAACACAGCACAUACACUGUAACACAGCACAGAUACACUGUAACACAGCACAGAUACACUGUAACACAGCACAGAUACACUGUAACACACAACAGAUACACUGUAACACAGCACAGAUACACUGUAACACAGCACAGAUACACUGUAACACAGCACAGAUACACUGUAACACAGCACAGAUACACUGUAACACAUAACAGAUACACUGUAACACACAACAGAUACACUGUAACACAGCACAGAUACACUGUAACACACAACAGAUACACUGUAACACAGCACAGAUACACUGUAACACAGCACAGAUACACUGUAACACAGCACAGAUACACUGUAACACAGCACAGAUACACUGUAACACAGCACAGAUACACUGUAACACAGCACAGAUACACUGUAACACAGCACAGAUACACUGUAACAGAUACACUGUAACACACAACAGAUGCACUGUAACACAUAACAGAUACACUGUAACAGAUACACUGUAACAGAUACACUGUAACACACAACAGAUGCACUGUAACACAUAACAGAUACACUGUAACACACAACAGAUACACUGUAACAGCUAACAGAUACACUGUAACAGAUACACUGUAACAGCUAACAGAUACACUGUAACAGCUAACAGAUACACUGUAACACGUAACAGAUAUGCUGUGACACAUAACAGUGAUUCUGUGGUCUAUCUUCUUGACGGAGUCUUGGACGGUACAGAACGAGUCUUCUUGGGCACCUUCUUACUGCCCUUAGCCUUUUUAGGGGGGUCUGACAAGGGGAGGGAGGGAGCGAGGGAGGAGGGGUUGGGUUUGCCGGUUGCCUCCCUCAGCAGAACGUUGGUGCGUUCGGUAGGAGGGGCUUCAGGGUCAACGACGAGUUGACAGAGGUCGUCUGGGUGAGGGGUCAUUGACGAUUGAGAAUCGCACAC